Molecule: long non-coding RNA, 775 nt
Filed under: Gadus morhua (Atlantic cod)
Lineage: Eukaryota; Metazoa; Chordata; Actinopteri; Gadiformes; Gadidae
Description: lncRNA (ENSGMOG00000024685.1)
Source: RNAcentral
ACAACAGAGAGGAGUUAGUUUGCAAGAGGAGGCAUUAUCUUCAUGGUGGAGACAAACUGUCGAGCCCGGAGUAGAAAGGGAAGGGGAAAAGGAAGAAACUGAAGAAUGGUCGAGAAAGGGAAGGGGAAAAGGAAGAAACUGAAGAAUGGUCGAUAUUCUGACGACGACGACGACGACGUAGUAUCGCUGUGCCAUCACCCAUCUUGUGAGCUGUUGAGGGAGAACAACCACAGGCUGCAGAGGGAAAAUGAUUCUCUCUAGGCAAAAAUAGCAACAUUGAAAUUGCUGCCAGACGCUUUGCAGAAGAUGGAGGAGUUUCUCCGCUCAGCACCAAGACCAACGACAACACCAAUACCAACACCAAGACCAGAACCAUCACUAUCACCAGCACCAACAGCAGUUCCACCACCAGCAACAGAAGACCCAUCACCAGCUCCAGGUCCAUCAUCAGCAUCAGCAACAGAGGCCCUGGGCCACUCUGUCAUUCCAAAAGGACUUGUGGAGCGCUGCUCCUUCCAAAGCCCCCAGAAGUUCAUAAAUGAUCUCCUACAUGGGAUGUAUACCAGGGAAUAUAUGGCAGGCCAUUCAGUGACUGGCCAGUCAUCCAGCAGCUGCACAGAAGGAAAACCUGGCCUAGCCAAACAGGACCUUGUUGAAAUAACAAAUGCUGCAAAGUUGAAGUUCACCUACGUAACUGAUACGAACAUAAAAGCAUUUAUACGACAAAAGCUGAACAAUGCUGCCAAAUUUCAGAAACAAUAAAUUAUCAACUGUU